RNAcentral lists this unclassified non-coding RNA (88 nucleotides) under Pseudomonas mandelii. Lineage: Bacteria; Pseudomonadati; Pseudomonadota; Gammaproteobacteria; Pseudomonadales; Pseudomonadaceae. The record is from RNAcentral.
GUGGGAGUGAGCCUGCUCGCGAUGGCCGUGGGUCAGUCAAAAUCGAUGUUGGAUGUGAUGGCCUCAUCGCGAGCAGGCUCGCUCCUAC